AUGGGACGCCGGGGCGGACGAGGAGGUGGAGGGGUGGGAGGGCGCGGACGAAGGGACGAACGGCCAGGAGGUGGCUGCGACGUCAAGGGCAUGCGCGAUCGCCGCCCUGACGACAUGGGUAUACGGGACCGCCGGCCCGAAAACCGCCCCCACUGCAGCGCUGGUCGUAGCCCCUCCCCGGGCUACCGCCUUCGCCGCAGUCCUCGCAGCCGCAGCCCCUCCCCGGGCUACCGUCCUCGACACAGUCCUCGCGGCCGCUCCCCGCACCACCGCUUGCGCCGCAGCCGUUCUCUGGACCACCGCGGAAGGCGCUCGAGGGAUGACGACGGCGAACGUAACCUGCCCCGCCGCGGGCAAGGGGACUACGGGAGGGAACCCUUUCACCAGGAGCGCGAUCGCUGCAGCCCGAGAGGAAGCCAUGAUGGUCGCGGCGACCGCGGUUCAAGAGCAAGCUAUGUCGGUCGCAGCGAGCGUGGCCCGAACAGGAACUUUGACAGUCGUGGCGACUGUGUGACUAGCGGGAGGUAUGAUGCUCCACCGGACUACAUGCUCCCAGAACAUCCAUACGACCAGGGGCGUGCUGCCAAGAAUGCAAGUGACUUCUUUGGAGGCCCUGGUGACCGGAGCAUUAACAAUGGGCAUGGGUUUUAUGGGGAAGAUGCCAUGAAACUCAGAGUUAGUUCCACGGGGUUGGGAAGGACUAGCUCAAUGUACCUGGACAGCAGGUCGCCUCUGCCUCCACCACCUACAAUUUCAUUGGCUCCUAGGACAAUGUACCCCUCGGUGCCACUUAGAGAGACUGGAUUCCUCACAGGGAGUUCAAUGGUGAAAGGUGGGGAGAGCCUUGGCGCUGGAAGUACCCGGUUGCCUCAGGAUGACACCAGGUUUCACUACCCUGACCAUUUGCCUGGCCCAUAUGUUGGGAACAGAGAAAUUGAAAGGCUUGGCCCUAGUAGAGAUGUGCUUAGUGACAGGGAUCGAGAAUUGGAUAGGCUUUACUCUAGUAGGGGCGUGUAUGGUUCGGACAUCACACCAUCUAUGCAGUUGAAGCGAUAUGCUGGUUCUUCACCAUUUGUACUUGCCAAGGACAGCCCAUACCGAGUGCAUGGUGGAGGUUAUGAGCCAAGCAAUUGCUACGCCAUGGAUGACAUAAGUAAACCAGGUUCCUUGGGACAUGGGAGUGGUCAGGUUCACAGGUUCUCAGAAAGUUCACUAGAGCACCUCAGUGGUCACGAUGACAAGAUAUCACUGGACAUCACAAGUCAAACACACUCUAAGUAUCCACCAACAACUGCAUCCAUGGAAUAUGAUGCAGAUGGAUAUGGUAGAAGGGGUCCAGAAAAUGACACAUAUUUUGCUUUUGGGAACUUCCGUGGAAAUUGCUCACGGGAUUCAAGGUCUAGCCCCAGGCACACAUUGGUCUCAUCACCUUUGACAGACCUCAAGGAUGAAAGGAGUAAUGCACAAGUGAGACUAUCCCGCAGGAUGGGAGAGGAUGCAGAAUACAACACAUAUCAUAAUUAUCAUAGAGAUACACCCACAGGUUAUCCCAAGCCAAGGAAUGCUCAUGUACGCUACUCACGCUCUCCUGAAACUUACCCUCUUGAACUUGCAAGGCAACCAGUUCGACAACGUGAGUUUGCUUCAUUGGAGAAUGGCUGUCAGUCAAGUCAUCUGGAAGUUUCUCCCGUGGCUUAUAGAAGAGGAUCCCGGGGAGCUGCAUAUAGUACUCGUGAUAUGGAUAUGUACCAAGCUGAUGGCCCACUAGGACGAGAGUAUUACAAUGAUGAAAUUGGACUAGAGCAUUACAAUGAUGAGAUUGACCCAUAUGACCUAUCACCUGAGAAAUUGUCAAGAAGAAGUUGUGAUAUCGUUGACGAUGAAGAUGGAUAUGACGCCAGAUAUGAUAUGUCAUCGAGUCAUAAUGUUUUCUCAAGAGUUGCUUUGCCAGACAACAUGAAUGAUGAAUGGAUUGAUGCUGAAGAAGGUAAUCAUCCUCAUCCUAACGGGUUAGCUCAUGGGCGCUCAAAAUAUAAGCCUAUGUCUCAGAGGCUGUCCAGACCUAUAGUCCAGCCACAAAUUGGGGGAUCUGCCAUGCUUGGAAGAGGAAGAGGGGGAGGAUGGACCAAAAGUGCGAAAAAGAGACUGAGAGUUGGUCUUCCUCAAUUCCAUGGUGGAUAUACAUCAGAGAGAAAUGAAUCUGUUCGGCCAAACAAAUUUACAAAGCUGUCAGAAGAUAAUCAGAAACGCACCGAACCAGACUACGAGGAUGCACCUGAUGAAGAGGAUCUUUCUGUGCAGAAAGAUCCACCAGAAGGUUCAGAAGAAUUCAGUAAACAGGUUCACCAGGCCUUCCUCAAGUUCUCAAAGAUAUUAAACGAGAGCCCGACCAUGCAGAAGAGAUACCGUGAGGCACCAAAAGGAUCUUUAUCUUGCCGUGUAUGUGGCAGUGUCGCAAGGAAGUUUCCAGACAUUGAUGCCUUGAUGUCACAUGCUUACGAUACACACAAACCGGGUUUGAAAACAAAGCAUUUAGGUUUUCACAAGGCACUCUGUGUUCUGAUGGGGUGGAAUUGGCAUGUUGCUCCAGACACUUCUAAAGCCUAUCAGUCUGUUCCCGCUGAGGAAGUAAAUGCCAUGAAGAGAGAUCUGAUGGUAUGGCCUCCAGUUGUCCUGAUACACAACAGCUCUAUCACAAACAACGCAAAGAUCGCCGAAGCAAAGACUGUGACAAUUGAAGAAAUCGAAGGUGUACUUGCAGAUAUUGGUGUUGCAUGUGACAAGGCAAAGAUAAGCCAGGGAAGACCAGCCAAUCAGAGUGUGUUUGUGGUCAAGUUCCUACCAACAAUAUCUGGAUUUCAGGAAGCAAUGAGAAUUCACGAUCAUUUCAGCUCUGAGAACCACGGCAAGGAAGAACUCCAUCAGAUACUAUGUGAGAAAGGUAAGAGUUCAGUUCCUGCUGACAAACUCGAAGAGCUGCUGUAUGCACAUAUUGCGCUGGCUGAAGAUCUCGGGUACCUGGACGAAGAGACAAAGAAGAGAUGCGUUGUCAGGAGCAAGAACGAUAUCGAGGCCAGGGCAGAUGCCACACUGAACUUGGACACGUGA
This 3108-nucleotide ribosomal RNA is filed under the name Triticum aestivum (bread wheat). RNAcentral's name for it is "partial small subunit ribosomal RNA". Lineage: Eukaryota; Viridiplantae; Streptophyta; Magnoliopsida; Poales; Poaceae. The record is from RNAcentral.